CAGUAGCCGCGGUAAUACGGAGGGUGCAAGCGUUAAUCGGAAUUACUGGGCGUAAAGCGCACGCAGGCGGUCUGACAAGUCAGAUGUGAAAUCCCCGGGCUUAACCUGGGAACUGCAUUUGAAACUGUCAGGCUGGAGUCUUGUAGAGGGGGGUGGAAUUCCAGGUGUAGCGGUGAAAUGCGUAGAGAUCUGGAGGAAUACCGGUGGCGAAGGCGGCCCCCUGGACAAAGACUGACGCUCAGGUGCGAAAGCGUGGGGAGCAAACAGGAUUAGAUACCCCUGUAGACCCUGUCUCUUAUAC
Molecule: ribosomal RNA, 301 nt
Filed under: uncultured bacterium
Lineage: Bacteria
Description: partial 16S ribosomal RNA
Rfam family: Bacterial small subunit ribosomal RNA
Source: RNAcentral